This is a non-coding RNA of Favolaschia claudopus, 115 nucleotides long. NCBI's taxonomy places the organism in Eukaryota, Fungi, Basidiomycota, Agaricomycetes, Agaricales, Mycenaceae. The record is from the annotation of a GenBank genome assembly.
GGUUCAAUAGUGUAGUCGGUUUAUCACGUCUGUCUCACAGAACGGUGUCCCAAAAAGUAACCGGAUACACUGUCGUGGUCACAGGAGGUCCCCGGUUCGAGCCCGGGUUGAACCA